This 241-nucleotide long non-coding RNA is filed under the name Gossypium barbadense (sea-island cotton). RNAcentral's name for it is "long non-coding RNA (GBAR_LNC004237)". Lineage: Eukaryota; Viridiplantae; Streptophyta; Magnoliopsida; Malvales; Malvaceae. The record is from RNAcentral.
GAUAAUCAUAUACAUGCAUAUAUACACAACACUUAGUUACCUUUAAGAAAAAUCUAACCAACCAUAGCCACUCAAACUCUCUCCCUAUAUAUUCCAAGUAUGGAUUAAUAUAUUAUUUUUUAUUUAAAUAAAUAUAAAAUUCUAUAAAACAAACAAUUGAUAAGGCAUAUAAAUAAAUGAUCAUAAUUAGGUUCUAUUACUCUAAUAAAAAAAAUUCAAUGGUUGCUUAAUUAAAUUCAAA